This 71-nucleotide transfer RNA is filed under the name Marmota marmota marmota (Alpine marmot). It matches the Rfam family "tRNA". From Rfam's summary of the family: Transfer RNA (tRNA) molecules are approximately 80 nucleotides in length. The record is from Rfam by way of RNAcentral. Lineage: Eukaryota; Metazoa; Chordata; Mammalia; Rodentia; Sciuridae. RNAcentral also lists the same sequence under 1 other name.
GCUGUUGUGGCUCAGUGUUAGAGCAUUCGCCCAGCACGUGGGAGGUCCUGGGUUCGAUCCUCAGCACCACA